CAGGCUUUACCACCCCAAGCGACGGCCUCAAGGACCUCGGAAGGAGGACACGUGAGCUACUAUGUCAUGUUGCUUUAAAGCACCCGCCCAAGAUGCUAUGAAGAGCUCAUUUUUCGCCUCUCGGAGAUUSUAAGUGCUGCGCCCCUCCGAACGCGCUUAAGACAAGUGUCCAUUUAAAAGAACACGAGUCACUCGGAAUCACAGCCGUAGAGUGGAGAGACCUAGAUUCGAUUCUCAGUUCUCGCCUGAUUCGCUGUGUGACCUCAGGAAAAACGCCUCUGCUCCGUGGGCCAGUUUCCCCAUUGGUAAUACGAGGGAGUGUGACGCUGCAUGUCCUCAGGACCCUUCAGUCUUUGAGAAGCUAUCAAAUUGUCUGAAAGAAGGAGAAGGCAAUACUGGGGCCCGGCCACCAGAGGCCGUCCGUACUCAGUUUCUGCGGUCCAAAGUGCCAGGCUGGUGUUAAGACCUUUCCUCUACCUGGCUUCCCAGCCUGCAGUUGACCUCAUCAGCUGGAUUGCAAGAUUCAAGAACCUUCUAUCACCUCUCCUGUGUAGUACCUUAUCAUCAUCUGACGCUGAACUUGUUUGGUUAUUGUCUUCUACCUAUGAAUGUCAGCUCCAGGGGACAGACGUGACUGUGUUGCAACACCCAGCACAAGACCCACACAAAGGAGAAGGACUAAGAAGCCGGAAGCCAUUCAGGCCCUCAAGACUUGACCCUGCAGCAGAGAUGGAGGCCAAGACUGGACCAAAGUAGCUAAUCCCACAUUAGAAAAUCCUUUGUUUUCUGUUGAGAGCCACAGUUUAGUUGGAUUGACGCCUGGCAUUUUGCUAGAGGGAAUGGUUGAACGGUGACCCUGCUCCGGGACUAGGGCAGCUCUGGGAUUAGGGCGGAUCCUGUUGGGAUUAGAGAGGAUCCUGCUGCCUUGGGAGCCCCCUACUUUGGAGUUCCUGUUGAGUUCUCCUCGUGUGUGGGGGUUCUGGGAGAAUUGGCAUGCGGAGGCCAGUGGAGGGAGUGUGUUUCCAGGAAGUGUGUGUA
Molecule: long non-coding RNA, 1038 nt
Organism: Urocitellus parryii (Arctic ground squirrel)
Lineage: Eukaryota; Metazoa; Chordata; Mammalia; Rodentia; Sciuridae
Source: RefSeq, a predicted model, not a curated record